UACGGGGGGGAGCAAGCGUUGUUCGGAUUUACUGGCGUAAAGGGCGCGUAGGCGGUCAGCACAAGUCAGUUGUGAAAUCUCCGGGCUUAACUCGGAAAGGUCAACUGAUACUGUGCGACUAGAGUGCAGAAGGGGCAACUGGAAUUCUCGGUGUAGCGGUGAAAUGCGUAGAUAUCGAGAGGAACACCUGCGGCGAAGGCGGGUUGCUGGGCUGACACUGACGCUGAUGCGCGAAAGCCAGGGAGCGAACGGG
RNAcentral lists this ribosomal RNA (253 nucleotides) under uncultured bacterium. RNAcentral's name for it is "partial 16S ribosomal RNA". It matches the Rfam family "Bacterial small subunit ribosomal RNA", at positions 524 to 776 of the family's 1533-position model. The record is from RNAcentral.